Molecule: long non-coding RNA, 451 nt
Organism: Mus musculus (house mouse)
Lineage: Eukaryota; Metazoa; Chordata; Mammalia; Rodentia; Muridae
Product: predicted gene, 34053
Exons: 4
Source: RefSeq, a predicted model, not a curated record
CCUGCUGUAGAUUGGCAGAAAAGGAGACCAAACAAAAAACAUGAUUUUGCUGGCAUUAAAUAAGAAUACACCACGUAUUGAUGUUGUAACUCAGUUGACAGAGUGCUUGCCUAGCAUGCGUGAAGAUCUGGAUUCAGUCCCGAGUACAAAGACCUGGGCUUGAUCCUCCACUCCGCAUGAAGCAGAUGUGAUGGUGACAGUCUUGGGAUCUGAGGCUCUGCAGAAGGAGUUGGUGGCUCAAGAGGCCUAAAUGACUGUAACUCAGAGCAAGUCUGAGCUCUGAUUCUGAGGCCAGAAGCUUUGGGUUCAGGUUUUCUCUGUAUAGCCCUGCAUGGUCAUUGUCUUGACAUCCCUGGGAAGACAACAUACACAGAGGGGUGUGAAUUGGUGUGCAUUGCAUGUGAUGUGGGCUUUGCUGAUACACAGUUGACAUCUCCUUUGGAUUCAGCUG